RNAcentral lists this ribosomal RNA (459 nucleotides) under uncultured bacterium. RNAcentral's name for it is "partial 16S ribosomal RNA". It matches the Rfam family "Bacterial small subunit ribosomal RNA", at positions 338 to 795 of the family's 1533-position model. The record is from RNAcentral.
GCUACGGGAGGCAGCAGUGAGGAAUAUUGGUCACUGGACGAGAGUCUGAACCAGCCAAGUAGCGUGAAGGAUGACUGCCCUAUGGGUUGUAAACUUCUUUUAUAUGGGAAUAAAACGUUCCACGUGUGGGGUUUUGUAUGUACCAUAUGAAGAAGGAUCGGCUAACUCCGUGCCAGCCGCCGCGGUAAUACGGGGGAUCCGAGCGUUAUACGGAUUUAUUGGGUUUAAAGGGAGCGUAGGUGGAUUGUUAAGUCAGUUGUGACAGUUUGCGGCUCAACCGUAAAAUUGCAGUUAAAACUGGCAUUCUUGAGUAGCGUAGAGGUGGGCGGAAUUCGGGGUGUAGCGGUGAAAUGCUUAGAUAUCACGAAGAACUCCGAUUGCGAAGGCAGUUCACUGGACUGCAACUGACACUGAGGCUCGAAAGUGUGGGUAUCAACCAGGAUUAGAUACCCUGUAGUC